This 161-nucleotide ribosomal RNA is filed under the name uncultured Saccharomycetes. Its description in RNAcentral is "partial 18S ribosomal RNA". It matches the Rfam family "Eukaryotic small subunit ribosomal RNA", at positions 96 to 329 of the family's 1831-position model. The record is from RNAcentral. Lineage: Eukaryota; Fungi; Ascomycota; Saccharomycetes.
GCUCAUUAAAUCAGUUAUAGUUUAUUCUGAAGAUAAUACCAUUAGGAUAACCGUGGUAAUUCUAGAGCUAAUACUUGCUUUCUAGGCUUUAUUAGAUAUGMAUCACWAUAACUUCAGAUCGAUUGACGCUUCAUUCAAAUUUCUGCCCUAUCAGCUAGAUG